This is a small nuclear RNA of Microtus ochrogaster (prairie vole), 106 nucleotides long. NCBI's taxonomy places the organism in Eukaryota, Metazoa, Chordata, Mammalia, Rodentia, Cricetidae. The record is from Ensembl.
GUGAUCAUUUGGCAGCACAUAAUACUAAUAUUGAACAAUGCAGAGAAUAUUAACAUGGUCCCUCCUCAAAGAUGACACCCAAGUUUUACAAGCAUCCCAUAUGAAA